CAGCAGAAUGAAGAGUCUACACACAGAGAGAAGGUCGGAUUUGUUUAAAGAUCCUGCAGCUGAUCCAGUUGAGCUGGAAUGAGGCAAGUCUUCUGGGGUUGUGGAAAGCCAGAGCACUUGACUACGCCUAAGUAAAAGUGGGAGGAGCUAGAUGUGGUGAGAUACAGUUUAGACAGUUUCACAGAGAUACUGCCGUUUAUAUCUACUGCAAGAGAGACACUCACAACAAUCAUGUUCCUCUUCUUUGUUUUCAUAGCUGUUAAAAACAUUGCAGGUGCUGUUGACAGCAGCAUUACACCAGACCAACCCGUCAUAUCUUCAAGUGAAGGCAGCAGCACCCCACUGACCUGCACAUAUGAUCAAUCAGCUGACUAUCUCUACUGGUAUCGACAAAACCCUCAAUCAGGACCAGAGUUUCUGCUGAGGAUUAUUAUAUCUUCAGAAACUGUCACUAAAGCUGAACAACUUGACCCAAGACUAUCCAUCAGACUCCGUAAAAAUGAGAGGAAAGUAUAUCUGGAGAUCUUUCCUGCUUCAGUAUCAGACUCUUCACUGUACUACUGCGCCAUGGAGCCCACAGUAACAGGAAACACAACUACACAGUACAAAAACUCCUUCACAUCACAAAAGGGAGGUUUUUCUUUUUCUCAGGACGGGGAGCUGUUUGGCUUUUUGAUUCAAAUAAAUUUUGCUUUUUCAAUUUCCAGUCUUUGAUGUUGGAAUAACUUUGAAUAUCUAUGCUGAUUGUGCUAGAAUAAUCUCCAUAGAAAAUGUUAAUCACCUUUCUGGAUAUUAAGAAAUUUUAUUAUUUCAUAAAUGUAAUUCUCAUGCAUCAGGUCUGUUUUAUUAUUUAAACCGAAAAACCCAAAAUGUCCCAACAAAUGUAGCUGUUAUUUGUGGACAGAAUUUGUUUAGAAAAAUAUAUGUUUAAGUGAAAUGUUGUGAGUUGAAUAAGACUGUGUUUAUUUAUUAGAGCAACUACAUAUCAUGAAGAAUAUUUCACAUCUAUUCAUGCUAAAAUGUGUUUAAAUAAAAAAGGGUCUUUACAUUAGAAUAUGUUGUUAUUGUGUAAAAUUAAAAUCCUACUCAGUAAACAUUACCUCUUCAGGUAAAUAAUAAAGAUAAAUCCACUUUAAAUGCAUUUAAAUAGACUGUAGAGAGUUAUGGAAGUGUUGUGUUUUUUAAAGAUCAGAAUGGUGUGGGAACUGAAUCGCUUUUCAGCCUCAUCUACAGGUAGUUAUGUGAACUCUAUUUAUAGCCAGGUUUUUAUUCCUUUUAGUAACCAAAUAAAGCUUGAUUUAUUCA
Pangasianodon hypophthalmus (striped catfish) is the source of this 1305-nucleotide long non-coding RNA. RefSeq lists it as uncharacterized. The transcript has 3 exons. Lineage: Eukaryota; Metazoa; Chordata; Actinopteri; Siluriformes; Pangasiidae. The record is from RefSeq and is a predicted model, not a curated record.